GAUGAACGCUGGCGGCGUGCUUAACACAUGCAAGUCGAACGGAAAGGCCCUGAUUUUGUGGUGUGCUCGAGUGGCGAACGGGUGAGUAUCACGUGAGUAACCUGCUCUUGUCUUUCGGAUAACUUCAGGAAACUGGGGCUAAUAUCGGAUAGGAGCUACUGAUGCGUGGUGGGGGUUGGAAAGUUUCGGCUGUUGGGGAUGGACUAGCGGCUUAUCAGCUUGCUGGUGGGGUAGUGGCUUACCAAGGCUUUGAAGGGUAGCCGGCCUGAGAGGGGGACCGGCGACAUUGGUACUAAGAGACGGCCCAGACGGCAACGUUAGGCAGCAGUGGGAAAUAUUGCACAGUAGGCGGAAGCCUGAUGCAGAGACGCCGCGUGCGUGAAGACGUCCUUCUGGGUAAAAACAGCUUUCGCCUGAGACGAAGCGUUAGUGACGGUAAUGAAUAAAGAAGCACCGGCUAACUACGUG
This 468-nucleotide ribosomal RNA is filed under the name uncultured bacterium. RNAcentral describes it as "partial 16S ribosomal RNA". It matches the Rfam family "Bacterial small subunit ribosomal RNA", at positions 28 to 507 of the family's 1533-position model. The record is from RNAcentral.